UUUUCUUGGCCACAUGGGGGCAGCGUGGCGACGUGCAAGUACGACGUUGGCAUGCCAACGUCAAGUAAGACGGCCCGGCGUUCGUCGUAGCAAGUGGCAACAUUAGCCGUCACUCGGAAGUCGUGUCUCCGGCUACCCGGCAAAAUGUAAAUUGAAAUUGGUGCCGUCAUAACUUCAGCCUCCUGUCAUUGCCGGGAUCCCACUGGACAAACGCUGUGGAGUGAUCAGAGAUCCCAUGCUGCUAUGAAAAUCGCCCGGUUGGACCCUUGGCUGUUUUACACUCUCCCAUCUCACCACUGGGGUUCUCCAAAGCCCUUGUAGUACCCAUCACAAUGACUGUACCCCACCUUUAGAGCCUCUUCGGUGACAGAAUCAGGGCAGCUCCACCGUCAGCAGCAUCAAAGCCACAGUGUGACGGAGAUGGAUUAAUAAGUAAAGAAAAAGUGUGACAGACCAAGAAAGGCGCCCAGAUCACACAAAGGCAAUAAAGUCACCUGGGGCAUCUAAAGGAGAAGAAGUUUUCAAAGCUGCUUGUUUUGUUGUACUCGCUCAAAGAGUUCCUAUGCACGAGCAUCUACCAUCCCAGGAAGGGCAGGGGCAGAGGACGAGGGGAGCCUUGACUGCCAGUGCUGAAGCUGGCAUACAGAAGUAAGAAGAGCAAAUGAAGGCAUGUGCUUACACCUGCAUUCACCCGGCAUGUCGCUGUUCAUUAUUCCACCAGAUUGUCAGCUCCCACUGCUGAAUCAUCGUGGUGGCGCAGGAGGAGGGCACCCAAGCCUUUUUACAGUAAUUUUUGAUGUCUGAGAACAUGAAUGGCUCCUUGAUUGUAAGAGGGUAACUGAACAACACACAUUGAUAUGCAGGAGAAAAGACUUUGACUAAGGAUGAAGCUUUGUGCCUGCCUGAUGUCUAACCACGACACUUUGGAUUUGAAGUUUUCUUAUAUUUCACCCUUUGUCUUCUUUAGCGCUUGUUCUAUUUCCUAACUCUGUUCCUCUCUGUCUGUUGCUCUUCCCAUAAUUUCUCCCAUCACCCUGUUCAGUUUUACACUGUCUACAGCGCCAUAUCUGUCAUAACUGCAAUAGAAAAUCUUUUCCCAGCAUUUGGGGCUUCAUUUUGUGGUUGAGGCCCCACUUUUAGUAUCAGAGGAGAAUGAAGCUGCAAGCCCUGACACUUUAUUUCCCCUGCAGUCAAUCACACUGAAGUUCAACUCUAUUAAAGGGAUAACGUUUUUUCUCUCAUUUUUUGGUAUCAAAUAUGUCCUCCUUGCAGCAAGGGGUUUAUCAGAUGCUUAGAAGUUUAUGAGGCAUCACUGUUAUCAGCGGCUAUCUGUUGUUUAAAUAUAAUCUUUAUGAUACCUGAAAAACAGCUGUGAAAUUCACAGAGCAGCGGUAAGGUCACCCUGCUGAUGGGCUGUAGCACCACACAUAGUCUGUGCCAAAACACACAAACGCAACGCUCCCACACUUACGUUUUCGUGAUCCUGCUUCACCCAGGAGUGAGAGAGAGGCGUAAUGAAGCUCGCUCUGCUCCCCUCCUAAUCUGGUCUGACAGGUCCUGACUCCGAGAGUAUGAUUAAUGUGAGCUGCAGCUGCAGCUGGACGCAUUUAAUGUCAUCUGCAAUAUCACCCGGCUCCAACAAAUGAGGGCCCACAUGCCAUACAUUUCUGUGGCAUGUUGUCCAUAUCCAUUAGCAAACAAUUUAUUGCAGACUUGAGAAUUUUGUUAUUAUUUUUUUUAUGCAGUGCCUCUGAAUCCAUCAGUCAGUCAGCCCCUGAGCCCUGGGGUGCCACAGAGAGUCAAAGAGUGAUAGCCAGUAUCCAGCUGCCAUGAAUCAUUCCUCUAGUAUUCACUCGUUAACCACGUGGGAGUUUGAAUUUGGCUUUUCAUAGGACCAGUGUGGUUUUCCCCUGAGGAAACAGCGGGGAAGCAGCCUGACCAUAUGGGCCAUGAGCAUUGAUACUGUAUCCGAGCUGUGAGUAAGCACACACAUUUUAAUUUGAGAGGGGAAUUUUCCUAUCUUACUCACCUGUGGCUGACCUUGGCACUCAAUAUUCAAGAGUUUUGUUUGCUUGUUAGCUUUUUCCUUUUUCUGAAAUCCCGCCCUGUGAUCCCAUCUUGAUAUUGUUACACUCAUCACCAAAUGGCCCGCCGUGAUGUGUUUCGAAGAGUGUGAAAUGUGGCUGUUCAGUAUGGCGGCCGACUCAGCAGAGCCCUGAGAGUUGGAGUAAACAAAAGGAUUUCAGGCUCAAAUGGAUAGAGUUGCACAAAUUACAGCCGAAUCAGUGCUGUUGUUUCACAGCAAUGCCCUCAAUCUGGCAAGCCGCUGCACCUCAUGUAGACACCACUUGUUGCCCUCACCUCCCCCACCCUUCCAAGUCAGCCCAAAAACAUUUUCACAUUCACUGCACAGUCAAUGGUAGCAAGCAUCAUAAUCUGAGGAGACGGUUCCAUCUCAGCUCACUCCCGAUAACCUUCCCAUUCAUCGCUCCCCACGUACACCUUUUAAUGAAAAGAGGGAAGCUCCCAGAAAUAGAGAUAUAGUGGGAGCAACUUGAGAAAGGUAGAAAAAGGAGAGAGGAAUAAAGGCGGUGGGGGGGGGGGCAAGUUGAGAUAAGGAAAAGAAAUGAGAAGAUGUGCGGAGAGAAAAAUAGCUGCCAUAUUUGGCUCUGUGGUGUAUUAACUCCCUUGGGUUGGAACUGAAUGUUAUUGCCGUGGCUGUCUGUCUGGUUCAAAACACGAGGAAGAAGUCUUUCAAUAUUUGCGGCAAGGUGAACAGAAUGUUGCGUCACGACAAAUGGACUGGUUAAAUACUCCACUCCCUCUAUAUCAUCUUGUUUAAAAAGCAAUCAGUCUGCUUCCCUGUUUUAAAAGACAAACCCCAAGGGAGCAACCGGAAUUUGAGAGACAAAUGAGGUUCAAAUCAGAAAUGGACCAGUCAAGAGGAAAGUAAUGAGUGAAUCUUGCUGUCCUGAUGAGUUUUAUGCUGCUGACAAAUUACUGGUAGACUUAAUAUCGAGUGCUGAUAGACUGUGAGGUAGUAAGAAAUCUUGUGGCGACUGAAGCCCUGUAGGCUCUUUUCCGAUUCUCUAUUGUGUCCUGGAAUGAAAAAGUACAGGAGACUAAUAAAGACUUGAUUUAAAUGCCAUUGCGUGUUUUUGUUGCCAUGGAAACAUAUCAGUCAGACUUUGUUUAUGUCAUAGCGCGUUGAUUGUUUCAAGCAGACCUAAAGAGGCCACCGAGGCUAUAUUUGUUGCCUCCUAAUAGGUAGUCUCAGCAGGGCUUUUGGUCAAGUUGAAGGGCCGCUGUUUGUUUAGGAGUGGAAAAAUGAAAAAAUAAUAACAACAGCUACUCACCUUUUCCCUACCAGUGGGGUGACAGAACAGCGAGAUGUGUGGCUUUUGUCUUCAGGCUGCCAGAAAUGUCAGCAACACACACAUCAGUGGUCACCGGCGCAGCUGGCGGGAGGGAGGAGGACAGAAUGCUGAUGAGGAAGCUGGAAGGAGCACAACAUCCGAGUACGCUUCAUACGCUUCGCCCACAGCACAUACAUGCUCCCAGAGGCACGUGCGCGAAGAGGCUCGGACGGCUGAAUGCCCACACAUGCACGGACGCAACUAGUCAGAAUCCGGAU
Xiphias gladius (swordfish) is the source of this 3634-nucleotide long non-coding RNA. RefSeq lists it as uncharacterized. The transcript is spliced from 3 exons. NCBI's taxonomy places the organism in Eukaryota, Metazoa, Chordata, Actinopteri, Istiophoriformes, Xiphiidae. The record is from RefSeq and is a predicted model, not a curated record.